UGGGGAAUUUUGGACAAUGGGCGCAAGCCUGAUCCAGCCAUGCCGCGUGCGGGAAGAAGGCCUUCGGGUUGUAAAGCACUUUUUGUCCGGAAAGAAAUCCUUGGCUCUAAUACAGUCGGGGGGAUGACGGUACCGGAAGAAUAAGCACCGGCUAACUACGUGCCAGCAGCCGCGGUAAUACGUAGGGUGCAAGCGUUAAUCGGAAUUACUGGGCGUAAAGCGUGCGCAGGCGGUUUGCUAAGACCGAUGUGAAAUCCCCGGGCUCAACCUGGGAACUGCAUUGGUGACUGGCAGGCUAGAGUAUGGCAGAGGGGGGUAGAAUUCCACGUGUAGCAGUGAAAUGCGUAGAGAUGUGGAGGAAUACCGAUGGCGAAGGCAGCCCCCUGGGCCAAUACUGACGCUCAUGCACGAAAGCGUGGGGGAGCAAAACAGGAUUAGAUACCCUGGGUAGUCCACGCCCUAAACGAUGUCAACUAGUUGUUGGGGAUUCAUUUCCUUAGUAACGUAGCUAACGCGUGAAGUUGACCGCCUGGGGAGUACGGUCGCAAGAUUAAAACUUAAAUGAAUUG
RNAcentral lists this ribosomal RNA (569 nucleotides) under uncultured bacterium. RNAcentral's name for it is "partial 16S ribosomal RNA". It matches the Rfam family "Bacterial small subunit ribosomal RNA", at positions 355 to 912 of the family's 1533-position model. The record is from RNAcentral.